This 763-nucleotide long non-coding RNA is filed under the name Equus caballus (horse). RNAcentral describes it as "lncRNA (ENSECAG00000058268.1)". The record is from RNAcentral. Lineage: Eukaryota; Metazoa; Chordata; Mammalia; Perissodactyla; Equidae.
CUGAUUCCAAAUCUGGGGCAGAAAAUUACAAGGUGAGCCUGGGUGGUGUUGCCUAAUAGAAAGCAAGGAAACCAUGGUGGAUGGUCGGGCUGUGUCAGAAGGACUCAGAGCCACCCUGCGGAGGACCCCACUGGUCAAAGGUGGAACAAUGUUCCCGUCCUCCUUUGACAACAGUGCCUUCAAGGGCGGGCCCUCAUAUCAAACUGCCUUCUUUGCUCUCAGUCUGAACCCAGUACAAGCAACCCUAACGCUGCCUUGAGCACAAGCGUCUUGAUGGAGGUCAUCUCUGCUGAUCCCCUCCACGUCCUCCUGAACUCUCACUACUCCAUGUUCAUAUUCCCACACAGCCAGCACCCUACUGAUGCUGCCCCUGGUAAGGCCACCAGGGACCUCCUAACUGCCAAAUCCGAAGGGUUAUCUCUGGACCUGACCACGCUGGGCCUCUACUCACUGGAAGUGGCUGAUCUUUCCCACCACGUGGACCCUGCGGCCCCCACGCCCUGCAUUCCUCCUGCCGCUCUGGCUAAAAGGCUUCAGGCUUUUUUGGUGACCCUCCUUGCACACUCCACCCUUAACCUCCCUCUCUUCUCAUUCUACCAAUGCUUCUUCCACUUCUUUUUUCAAGGACACCUUUGAAAAUUUGCUGAAAGGGAUGGGAAGAGUUUCCCCAAAACAAAAUAAAACUCUGUAUUCACAGACACAUAAUAUUUUAAGUCACUUCAAGAGGCCUCUGGACAUCCUGAAGCCACAUUGGCCCUCUGCU